GACGAACGCUGGCGGCGUGCUUAACACAUGCAAGUCGAACGGAAAGGCCCUGCUUUUGUGGGGUGCUCGAGUGGCGAACGGGUGAGUAACACGUGAGUAACCUGCCCUUAACUCUGGGAUAAGCCUGGGAAACUGGGUCUAAUACCGGAUAGGAGCGUCCACCGCAUGGUGGGUGUUGGAAAGAUUUAUCGGUUUUGGAUGGACUCGCGGCCUAUCAGCUUGUUGGUGAGGUAAUGGCUCACCAAGGCGACGACGGGUAGCCGGCCUGAGAGGGUGACCGGCCACACUGGGACUGAGACACGGCCCAGACUCCUACGGGAGGCAGCAGUGGGGAAUAUUGCACAAUGGGCGCAAGCCUGAUGCAGCGACGCCGCGUGAGGGAUGACGGCCUUCGGGUUGUAAACCUCUUUCAGUAGGGAAGAAGCGAAAGUGACGGUACCUGCAGAAGAAGCACCGGCUAACUACGUG
This 468-nucleotide ribosomal RNA is filed under the name uncultured bacterium. Its description in RNAcentral is "partial 16S ribosomal RNA". It matches the Rfam family "Bacterial small subunit ribosomal RNA", at positions 28 to 507 of the family's 1533-position model. The record is from RNAcentral.